Trichonephila clavata is the source of this 73-nucleotide non-coding RNA. NCBI's taxonomy places the organism in Eukaryota, Metazoa, Arthropoda, Arachnida, Araneae, Nephilidae. The record is from the annotation of a GenBank genome assembly.
AGUCUGGUAGCGCGACUCAUAGCGUGUUGGGCUUCUAAUUCAAUGGUCGUGGGUUCGAAUCCCACCUGGGUUG